GACGAACGCUGGCGGCGUGCUUAACACAUGCCAGUCGAACGGAAAGGCCCUGCUUUUGUGGGGUGCUCGAGUGGCGAACGGGUGAGUAACACGUGAGUAACCUGCCCUUGACUUUGGGAUAACUUCAGGAAACUGGGGCUAAUACCGGAUAGGAGCUCCUGCUGCAUGGUGGGGGUUGGAAAGUUUCGGCGGUUGGGGAUGGACUCGCGGCUUAUCAGCUUGUUGGUGGGGUAGUGGCUUACCAAGGCUUUGACGGGUAGCCGGCCUGAGAGGGUUACCGGCCACAUUGGGACUGAGAUACGGCCCAGACUCCUACGGGAGGCAGCAGUGGGGAAUAUUGCACAAUGGGCGGAAGCCUGAUGCAGCAACGCCGCGUGCGGGAUGACGGCCUUCGGGUUGUAAACCGCUUUCGCCUGUGACGAAGCGUGAGUGACGGUAAUGGGUAAAGAAGCACCGGCUAACUACGUG
Molecule: ribosomal RNA, 468 nt
Filed under: uncultured bacterium
Lineage: Bacteria
Description: partial 16S ribosomal RNA
Rfam family: Bacterial small subunit ribosomal RNA
Source: RNAcentral